CUUAUUGUGUCAUUGUUUAGAUGGCAAACGCAGUCAUGGAGGCCUUUCCGAAAAUACCAAACAUUGCAUUUGGUACAACAAAGACAGAGAUGGUACAUCAGCGUAAACAUUACGCUCUGCAAAUACUGAAAGCCUCAGUGUUUGACAUAGAUAACAACUGUGCCAUGUGCUCAGCGACAAAACCACCAGGUCCAGGGCCUUCCUUCACUGACUGGAUUCAGUGUGACAGAUGUAGCUGGUGGUUUCAUGCCCAGUGCCUCCAGAUGGACACAGCCCAGAUUCAAAAUGUGCAAACCGCUGACUGGAAUUGCUGUCUGUGUCAAAAAUAAUUCCACAAUCAGUAUGUGCUAUGUCUUUUUUUUUUAUAUGUUCACUGUUUUCUUCGUCUGUGUAUGAAAGAGUCGCCUAAAACACAUAUUUUGCCUUUCAUAGUAUUACCAGCUGCAAAAGCAACACUGGUAUUGUUUUCACUUUGUGAGUCUGUGUGCAAGUCCCCAGGUGUUUAUAUUGCUAUCUCUGUGUACAGAUUUUCUCAUCCCGAUAGCAACCGUGAACGAUGCAGUCACAAAACUUUACAGGUGUUUAUUUUUUAUCAAACUGAAGGCCGCGUUUGAAGAUGGGUGUGGCCCAACAAUGGCACCUGAAUUACGAAAUUAAAAGGAAGGGGUUGAUCAGGACUUUACGCCCCUUAAACAAUUUAGCAUCAUGGCCGUUUAGGUUUUUAUAAUUUUAUUUUUCUUUUUAA
Molecule: long non-coding RNA, 745 nt
Organism: Platichthys flesus (European flounder)
Lineage: Eukaryota; Metazoa; Chordata; Actinopteri; Pleuronectiformes; Pleuronectidae
Exons: 3
Source: RefSeq, a predicted model, not a curated record